Molecule: ribosomal RNA, 394 nt
Filed under: uncultured bacterium
Lineage: Bacteria
Description: partial 16S ribosomal RNA
Rfam family: Bacterial small subunit ribosomal RNA
Source: RNAcentral
AUACGUAGGGGACGAGCGUUGUCCGGAAUUACUGGGCGUAAAGGGCGCGCAGGCGGAUAUUUAAGUCAGCUGUAAAAGGCAUGAGCUCAACUCAUGUAUGCGGUUGAAACUGGGUAUCUAGAGUGCUGGAGAGGUAGGCGGAAUUCCCGGUGUAGCGGGGAAAUGCGUAGAUAUCGGGAAGAACACCAGUGGCGAAGGCGGCUUACUGGCCAGCAACUGACGCUGAGGCGCGAAAGCCAGGGGAGCGAACGGGAUUAGAUACCCCGGUAGUCCUGGCCGUAAACGAUGAAUGCUAGGUGUGGGUGUCGAGAGGCAUCCGUGCCGGAGUUAACGCGAUAAGCAUUCCGCCUGGGGAGUACGAUCGCAAGAUUGAAACUCAAAUGAAUUGGCGGGG